GUCCACGCCCUAAACGAUGGGUGCUAGAUGUCGGGACUUCGGUUUCGGCGUCGUAGUUAACGCGUUAAGCACCCCGCCUGGGGAGUACGGUCGCAAGAUUAAAAACUCAAAGGAAUUGACGGGGACCCGCACAAGCGGUGGAGCAUGUGGUUUAAUUCGAGGCAACGCGAAGAACCUUACCAGACCUUGACAUCCCUCCUAAACCCUAUGUAAUGUAGGUCUCAGUUCGGCUGGGGAGGAGACAGGUGCUGCAUGGCUGUCGU
RNAcentral lists this ribosomal RNA (263 nucleotides) under uncultured bacterium. RNAcentral describes it as "partial 16S ribosomal RNA". It matches the Rfam family "Bacterial small subunit ribosomal RNA", at positions 793 to 1055 of the family's 1533-position model. The record is from RNAcentral.